ACGAGCGAGCGAAGCCUUUGCCCUCGAGCGACGCCACACCAGAGUCUUCGCCCUCGCAGCCGCUGCCGAUCCCCUCCCUCAAACGCCGCCGCCCGUCGUUGCCGCCCCCGCCACCUCCCGUCGCGGGCAGGCGGGAGGAGCCCUGCCCGGCCAUGGCGACACCGACGGCGGCCUCCUCCUCCCCCUCACCUUCUCUCCCUCUCCCAAGGGAGGGAAGGGAAUAGAAGGGAUCUGAUUGGAGCGGUGGAUCUGCGCCCUUGCCGUCUCUUCUUUUCUUCACCGAUUCCAGGAGGAGAUCGAAGUGGGAGGUAGACGAGCAGGAGCGCCGCGUCCGCGACAGCGAUGAGCGAUGACCCAGGUUCUCCUCUCCCAUGGCAGGGGUCGGCGAGUGGCAACAGAUGCGGGACACCAACUGGUGGCGCAACGGACAGCGAGAGGCGGGACACCAACUGGGCGCGCCUCUCGCGGCCGACUUCCACGGCGGCGACGUCGUUUACCUUGGCGCCUGCUUCUUUUCCGACUCAGCGAUCCCCGCGGGCACCGAUGGACGGCGACGGGCAGCACGUGCGGCCGCGGAGCCGCGCGCUCCUGACCGACGACGAGGAUGACGGGACGUACGCCGGCGACGUGUACAGCGGCAGCCUCGCCGCCACGGGCGGGUCUCGUGCUGGCUGGAUCUUGGGGCGGUAGCAGUACUUGGUGCAGCGCCGCCGCGGCGAUUACGGCAGCGUCGGGGUCGUCGUCGUCCUCAUCCGCACAGGGAAGCUGGACUGGGAGGUUUGCUGCUUCCGGUCGGCAGACGAUGGCUAUGACGCUAUGCCCAGCACGAGUGCUAACGCCAUCACGGCCGGCACCACUGGCACAACAGCCGUUCGGUGUGCUCUCCGGGAUGCUGCAGUCGAAGGGUCGAGCAGGAGCUAUGGAUGCCAGCAAACAAGCCUGUGCAGACGGCAAUGCAUCAAUCAAAUCGGAUGGAGAACAUCACACAACAGCCUUUCUCCAGGACAUAAAGAAAAUGGUGGCACUUUGGGUUUUGAAGACGCCGCCUCGCGUAGGACUACGAACAUGGGACGCUCGGUCGAGUUUUUCUUAACUCGUCAGGAUUCUCAUGCUGCAAAUUUAGUAACGGGGAAAAUUUUUGGGUGUCCUGAUGUGUUUGCGGAUUGAUGAAAAUUUGGCGAGGGAGAUCAUAAACCAUCGCUCGCUGCAGCACAUCAAUUGUUGAAUUCGUUUGAAGGAGCUGUCAAUUGUUGAAUUCGCUUGAAGGAGAUGGAGCUUGUUUGGCUGAAUUUGCUACUGAGUUGCCACAUUUUGAGGGCCUGCAAUUGAAGAAUACAACACUUGAGAUAACAAUUGAAGAAUACUAGAGUAAUAAUAACUACUGCAAGAGUGAUGUAUUUUCUUUUUGUUGGAGAUUUUCUGCAUCUUUUAUGGACGGUAACAUUUGAGAUAACAAUUUGAUGUGCUAACCAUCAAGAUCAACUUCGACAUGUUUGGUCUCUAAAAGUUACUAUUGACCAUCAUUGGUGCAUCCUAUAAGAAGGGGAAAAUAAAGCAUUAAUGUGGAGUAUGUUCCAAUGGAAAUCUUCAGGAACACCUUGAAGGUCUGAGUGCAAUUUUUCUUUAGUUCUCUGUGAGCUUAAAAAUGCAACUGGUGUGGCCCAUGCAACUGAGAUUAAAAACAUGGAGAAGAAUCAUAAAAGAUCUCGCUGAAAAUGUCCUCGUUCCGCACUUCGUGUGGACAGGUAGCGCCCUUUACCUUCGAAGUCUCGAAAAAUUGUCUGGGUGAUGCGGGUGCCUCAAUGCUUGAUGCCAUGUUCUGUAAGAGGCCAAGCCAUUUGUGGAUAGUUUAUCUAAAUGCCCAAAACCCACUUAGAGCUCCAGAGAGGUCUUGUUUUCUUGUACUAUGGAUUUAAGGUGAUUCUCAAGAGGAACAAGUCGCCAUGGACCGAUGAGAUCGAGAGACGGCUCCGCGAUUGCGUGGAGUGGCGGCUGAGAGGAGAGGCAACAACAACUCGUUGUUCGUGACGGCCCGAGCGUUUGCGAGAGGGGAUGGAGCGGGGGUUGCAUUGUCACGGCCAGUUGCCAUAGUGGAUGGAGUGGUGGCCGCACGGACGCGCUCCUGGAGGUGCCGGUAUGCACCCUGAUUUUGAGCCUGGGAGGUUCCUUGCUCUGCCCUAUCCUCAAGGGUGUUCAUCUACUUUGGUAUCGUGCUCUGGAGUCAGGACGAUGCACUAAUGCAGGUUUGGUUCUUUACUUUUUCAUUUAUUUUGUUUGUAUGCAUAUCCCUGAAUUUUGUGAGCCGUGAUUUAAAUGUUGUCGUGUGUGCCAUUGUGUCCUAUAUAAUUAUUCUAUAGAAGCACCACUGCAACCCAGUUUGUUUAUCAAAUUGAUGCAAGAAACAAACUAAUACAUAGAGAGUAUAAAUUUAUUGCAUUAAUCUGUAUAUCCCUGCACCUAGAGAUAGGUAGAAAUGGAUAAAUUUUGUAGCUUUUUGUUCCCAGUUUUUCCUAUUGAAAUUAUGGAUUUGGAAGCUAAUCAUGGAGUGUUUCGAUUGCCUGCUUACGGAUUCGCAAUGAGCACAAGUCUGCAACCUUGAAGGAAAACCCGUUGCAACUGAUGACAUAAUAUUACGUCGCAACAAGAAUGUAUAGAGCUGCAAAGCUCUGUGGAUCCUUCUCUUCACAAAAGGAAACAAGAGGUAAUGUAAACAAUAGAUUCUCUUGUGAAAUUGCGAUUCAGCCUUGGGGCGUGGAUGGCAAGAAGCGGAGGCGUGUGCCUAGAGUAGCGGACCAUGAUGGAUUGAUGAGCUGAUGUCACGUGACGUACUCACGUGGCGGCUGGUUAGGCUCUGGCGGCUGGAGCCAUCAUCGACCAUGAUGCCACGCCAGGAGCACAAGGGCUAAGACGAGGACAUGUUGGUGCCGAUGAAAUAAGGUGUUGCCGGUUGAUGGGGGCCUAACCAUGAGUCUAACUGAAAGUGAAUGGGAGCGAUGUGCAGAAAAAAAUCUUAGCACAUAGGCUGAAUUUGUAUAGUACUUUGAAUUUAUUAGGCAGUACCCCCUCCAUUUGUAUAUCACUUCCGAAUACAAGUUCAGGUUAUUAGGCAGUACUAUUGAAUUUAAGGAUUGAUACUUGAAGAUUUUAAAAGGUUACUAAAUUUAAUUUAAUUUUUUGACAGCAGGUUACUAAAUUUUGUACCAAGACUACUGUUAUGUAUGGGAAGAACAUGCGCUAAAAUAUUGAUAAUGCAAAUGAAAGUGAUCGUUUGA
This is an RNA transcript of Triticum dicoccoides, 3272 nucleotides long. RefSeq lists it as uncharacterized. The record is from RefSeq and is a predicted model, not a curated record. The transcript has 12 exons. NCBI's taxonomy places the organism in Eukaryota, Viridiplantae, Streptophyta, Magnoliopsida, Poales, Poaceae.